RNAcentral lists this ribosomal RNA (335 nucleotides) under uncultured Pseudomonadota bacterium. RNAcentral's name for it is "bacterial SSU rRNA". It matches the Rfam family "Bacterial small subunit ribosomal RNA", at positions 29 to 351 of the family's 1533-position model. The record is from RNAcentral. Lineage: Bacteria; Pseudomonadati; Pseudomonadota.
AACAAACGCUGGCGGCGUGCCUAACACAUGCAAGUCGUACGAGAAAGGGUCCUUCGGGAUCUGAGUAAAGUGGCGCACGGGUGAGUAACGCGUGGGUAAUCUCCCCUUGGAUUUGGGAUAACUCUGCGAAAGUGGAGCUAAUACCGGAUAGUCUGGCUUUAAUUGAUAAGUCGGUAAAGGAUGCCUCUGCAUAUGCAUUCGUCCAAGGAUGAGCCCGCGUCUCAUUAGCUAGUUGGUAGGGUAAUGGCCUACCAAGGCAACGAUGAGUAGCUGGUCUGAGAGGAUGAUCAGCCACACUGGAACUGAAACACGGUCCAGACUCCUACGGGUGGCAG